GGUCUUGUGGUCUAGAGGUAUGAUUCACCCUUAGGGUCUAGUGAACCAUAUGGGUGAGGCCCCGCGUUCGAUUCGCGGCAAGACCC
This is a non-coding RNA of Hydnum rufescens UP504, 86 nucleotides long. The record is from the annotation of a GenBank genome assembly. Lineage: Eukaryota; Fungi; Basidiomycota; Agaricomycetes; Cantharellales; Hydnaceae.